Molecule: ribosomal RNA, 253 nt
Filed under: uncultured bacterium
Lineage: Bacteria
Description: partial 16S ribosomal RNA
Rfam family: Bacterial small subunit ribosomal RNA
Source: RNAcentral
UACGUAGGGGGCAAGCGUUGUCCGGAAUCAUUGGGCGUAAAGCGCGUGUAGGCGGCUCGAUAAGUCUGCUGUGAAAGUUCAGGGCUCAACCCUGAAAUGCCGGUGGAAACUGUCGAGCUAGAGUACGGAAGAGGUGAGUGGAAUUCCUGGUGUAGCGGUGAAGUGCGCAGAUAUCAGGAGGAACACCAAUGGCGAAGGCAGCUCACUGGGACGUUACUGACGCUGAGACGCGAAAGCGUGGGGAGCAAACAGG